Molecule: ribosomal RNA, 484 nt
Filed under: uncultured bacterium
Lineage: Bacteria
Description: partial 16S ribosomal RNA
Rfam family: Bacterial small subunit ribosomal RNA
Source: RNAcentral
AUUGAACGCUGGCGGCAGGCCUAACACAUGCAAGUCGAGCGGAUGAAGGGAGCUUGCUCCUGGAUUCAGCGGCGGACGGGUGAGUAGUGCCUAGGAAUCUGCCUGGUAGUGGGGGAUAACGUCCGGAAACGGGCGCUAAUACCGCAUACGUCCUGAGGGAGAAAGUGGGGGAUCUUCGGACCUCACGCUAUCAGAUGAGCCUAGGUCGGAUUAGCUAGUUGGUGGGGUAAAGGCCUACCAAGGCGACGAUCCGUAACUGGUCUGAGAGGAUGAUCAGUCACACUGGAACUGAGACACGGUCCAGACUCCUACGGGAGGCAGCAGUGGGGAAUAUUGGACAAUGGGCGAAAGCCUGAUCCAGCCAUGCCGCGUGUGUGAAGAAGGUCUUCGGAUUGUAAAGCACUUUAAGUUGGGAGGAAGGGCAGUAAGUUAAUACCUUGCUGCUUUGACGUUACCAACAGAAUAAGCACCGGCUAACUUCGUG